This 466-nucleotide ribosomal RNA is filed under the name uncultured bacterium. RNAcentral's name for it is "partial 16S ribosomal RNA". It matches the Rfam family "Bacterial small subunit ribosomal RNA", at positions 28 to 507 of the family's 1533-position model. The record is from RNAcentral.
GAUGAACGCUGGCGGCGUGCUUAACACAUGCAAGUCGAACGAUGGAGCCCAGCUUGCUGGGUGGUUUAGUGGCGAACGGGUGAGUGACACGUGCGUAACCUGCCCUUCACUCUGAGUUAAGCAUGUUCAACUGGGUCUAAUACCUGCUAGGAGCGUCCACCGCCUGGAGGGUGUUGGAAAGAUUUAUCGGCUUUGGAUGGACUCGCGGCCUAUCAGCUUGUUGGUGAGGGAAUGGCUCACUAAGGCGUCGACGGGUAGCCGACCUGAGAGGGUGACCGGCCACACUGCGACUGAGACAGGGAGCAGACGCCUACGGGAGGCAGCAGUCGGGAACAUUGCACAGUGGGCGAAAGCCUGAUGUGGCGACGCCGCGUGAGGGAUGCCGGCCUUCGGGUUGUAAACCUCUUUCAGUAGGGAAGAAGCGAACGUGACGGUACCUGAAGAAGAAGCAACGGCUAACUACGUG